AUUGAACGCUGGCGGCAGGCCUAACACAUGCAAGUCGAGCGGAUGAAGGGGGCUUGCUCCUGGAUUCAGCGGCGGACGGGGGAGUAAUGCCUAGGAAUCUGCCUGGUUGUGGGGGAUAAUGUCCGGAAACGGGCGCUAAUACCGCAUACGUCCUGAUGGAGAAAGUGGGGGAUCUUCGGACCUCACGCUAUCAGAUGAGCCUAGGUCGGAUUAGCUAGUUGGUGGGGUAAAGGCCUACUAAGGCGACGAUCCGUAACUGGUGUGAGAGGAUGAUCAGUCACAUUGGAACGUGAACACGGUCCAGAGUACUACGGGAGGCAGCAGUGGGGAAUAUUGGACAGUGGGCGAAAGCCUGAUCCAGCCAUGCCGCGUGUGUGAAGAAGGUCUUCGGAUUGUAAAGCACGUUAAGUGGGGAUGAAGGGCAGUAAGUUAAUACCUUGCUGUUUUGACGUUACCAACAGAAGAAGCACCGGCUAACUUCGUG
Molecule: ribosomal RNA, 484 nt
Filed under: uncultured bacterium
Lineage: Bacteria
Description: partial 16S ribosomal RNA
Rfam family: Bacterial small subunit ribosomal RNA
Source: RNAcentral